Molecule: ribosomal RNA, 513 nt
Filed under: uncultured bacterium
Lineage: Bacteria
Description: partial 16S ribosomal RNA
Rfam family: Bacterial small subunit ribosomal RNA
Source: RNAcentral
GACGAACGCUGGCGGCGUGCUUAACACAUGCAAGUCGAACGAGAGCGUAGAGAAAGCUUGCUUUUUCUACAAUCUAGUGGCAAACGGGUGAGUAACGCGUAAACAACCUGCCCUACGGAUGGGGACAACAGCUGGAAACGGCUGCUAAUACCGAAUACGUUCCGAAAGUCGCAUGACUAUCGGAAGAAAGGAUGGCCUCUAUUUAUAAGCUAUCGCCGGAGGAGGGGUUUGCGUCUGAUUAGCUAGUUGGAGGGGUAACGGCCCACCAAGGCGACGAUCAGUAGCCGGUCUGAGAGGAUGAACGGCCACAUUGGAACUGAGACACGGUCCAGACUCCUACGGGAGGCAGCAGUGGGGAACCUUCCGCAAUGGGAGAAAGCCUGACGGAGCAACGCCGCGUGAGUGAAGACGGCCUUCGGGUUGUAAAGCUCUGUUAUACGGGACGAAUAAUCUUGUGGUUAAUACCCAUGAGAAGUGACGGUACCGGAAGAGAAAGCCACGGCUAACUACGUG